RNAcentral lists this ribosomal RNA (253 nucleotides) under uncultured bacterium. Its description in RNAcentral is "partial 16S ribosomal RNA". It matches the Rfam family "Bacterial small subunit ribosomal RNA", at positions 524 to 776 of the family's 1533-position model. The record is from RNAcentral.
UACGUAGGGUGCAAGCGUUGUCCGGAAUUAUUGGGCGUAAAGAGCUCGUAGGCGGUGUGUCGCGUCUGCUGUGAAAACUCAGGGCUCAACUCUGAGCUUGCAGUGGGUACGGGCACACUUAAGUGCUGUAGGGGAGACUGGAAUUCCUGGUGUAGCGGUGAAAUGCGCAGAUAUCAGGAGGAACACCGGUGGCGAAGGCGGGUCUCUGGGCAGUUACUGACGCUGAGGAGCGAAAGCAUGGGGAGCGAACAGG